This 409-nucleotide transfer-messenger RNA is filed under the name Patescibacteria group. RNAcentral's name for it is "UBA12108 sp001002415 Standard tmRNA". It matches the Rfam family "transfer-messenger RNA". From Rfam's summary of the family: Bacterial tmRNA, also known as 10Sa RNA or SsrA, is named for its dual tRNA and mRNA-like properties. Its role is to liberate the mRNA from a stalled ribosome. The record is from RNAcentral. RNAcentral also lists the same sequence under 4 other names.
GGGGACGUCUUGCUUUGACGUAUACCAGCUCUUUAACAUCUGCAUACCGACUUUGACUAAGGAAGUCGUAAAACAGAGUCAAAAAACAACUGUCAACACUUUGAAGACAGCAGCUAAGAACGUUGUCGCCUUUCUCUUCGGAGAUGGCGUCGGCACUUACGCUCCUAGUUUCGCUUUAGCUUAACUGGCAUUCACGUCCUACUCGCUUAUGGGGAAGAUGUGGGUGGAAACACACAUAAGCCGUAAGUUGGAUCCGGUCAAUCCAACCCAUAUCAACGACCACCCUCGUGUUACUCUUGGUCUGAUAAUUACCUAAGUAGCUAGAGGUAAAAACCAAAAUUUAUCUAUGUAUGUAGAUGGUGUUACAGGCGGCAUGCGGACGAGGGCUCACUGCCCUCCGUCUCCACUC